This 460-nucleotide ribosomal RNA is filed under the name uncultured bacterium. Its description in RNAcentral is "partial 16S ribosomal RNA". It matches the Rfam family "Bacterial small subunit ribosomal RNA", at positions 338 to 795 of the family's 1533-position model. The record is from RNAcentral.
CCUACGGGAGGCAGCAGUGAGGAACAUUGGUCAAUGGGCGCGAGCCUGAACCAGCCAAGUAGCGUGAAGGAUGACUGCCCUAUGGGUUGUAAACUUCUUUUAUAUGGGAAUAAAGUGCAGUAUGUAUACUGCUUUGCAUGUACCUUAUGAAUAAGGAUCGGCUAACUCCGUGCCAGCAGCCGCGGUAAUACGGAGGAUCCGAGCGUUAUCCGGAUUUAUUGGGUUUAAAGGGAGCGUAGGCGGGUUGUUAAGUCAGUUGUGAAAGUUUGCGGCUCAACCGUAAAAUUGCAGUUGAUACUGGCAGCCUUGAGUACAGUAGAGGUAGGCGGAAUUCGUGGUGUAGCGGUGAAAUGCUUAGAUAUCACGAAGAACUCCGAUUGCGAAGGCAGCCUGCUGGACUGUAACUGACGCUGAUGCUCGAAAGUGUGGGUAUCAAACAGGAUUAGAUACCCCUGUAGUC